This 2891-nucleotide ribosomal RNA is filed under the name Vibrio parahaemolyticus. RNAcentral's name for it is "23S ribosomal RNA". It matches the Rfam family "Bacterial large subunit ribosomal RNA". Lineage: Bacteria; Pseudomonadati; Pseudomonadota; Gammaproteobacteria; Vibrionales; Vibrionaceae. The record is from RNAcentral.
GGUUAAGUGACUAAGCGUACACGGUGGAUGCCUUGGCAGUCAGAGGCGAUGAAAGACGUAGUAACUUGCGAUAAGCCCAGAUUAGGUAGUAACAACCAUUUGAGUCUGGGAUUUCUGAAUGGGGAAACCCACGUGCAUAAGCACGUAUCCUUACCUGAAUACAUAGGGUAAGGAGGCGAACCGGGGGAACUGAAACAUCUAAGUACCCCGAGGAAAAGAAAUCAACCGAGAUUCCGAAAGUAGCGGCGAGCGAAAUUGGACUAGCCCUUAAGCUUUACACGCGUUAGACGAACGGUCUGGAAAGUCCGACGAUACAGGGUGAUAGUCCCGUAGUUGACGACGUGUGUUCAGUGAAAUCGAGUAGGGCGGGACACGUGAUAUCCUGUCUGAAUAUGGGGGGACCAUCCUCCAAGGCUAAAUACUACUGACUGACCGAUAGUGAACCAGUACCGUGAGGGAAAGGCGAAAAGAACCCCUGUGAGGGGAGUGAAAUAGAACCUGAAACCGUGUACGUACAAGCAGUAGGAGCAGGCUUUGUCCUGUGACUGCGUACCUUUUGUAUAAUGGGUCAGCGACUUAUAUUCAGUGGCAAGGUUAACCAUCUAGGGGAGCCGUAGGGAAACCGAGUCUUAACUGGGCGUUCAGUCUCUGGAUAUAGACCCGAAACCAGGUGAUCUAGCCAUGGGCAGGUUGAAGGUUGAGUAACAUCAACUGGAGGACCGAACCGACUAAUGUUGAAAAAUUAGCGGAUGACUUGUGGCUAGGGGUGAAAGGCCAAUCAAACCUGGAGAUAGCUGGUUCUCCCCGAAAGCUAUUUAGGUAGCGCCUCGGACGAAUACUACUGGGGGUAGAGCACUGUUAAGGCUAGGGGGUCAUCCCGACUUACCAACCCUUUGCAAACUCCGAAUACCAGUAAGUACUAUCCGGGAGACACACGGCGGGUGCUAACGUCCGUCGUGGAGAGGGAAACAACCCAGACCGCCAGCUAAGGUCCCAAAUUACUACUAAGUGGGAAACGAUGUGGGAAGGCUCAGACAGCCAGGAUGUUGGCUUAGAAGCAGCCAUCAUUUAAAGAAAGCGUAAUAGCUCACUGGUCGAGUCGGCCUGCGCGGAAGAUGUAACGGGGCUAAGUAGUAAACCGAAGCUGCGGCAAUGUGCUUUUGCACAUUGGGUAGGGGAGCGUUCUGUAAGCGGUUGAAGGUGUGUGGUAACGCAUGCUGGACGUAUCAGAAGUGCGAAUGCUGACAUGAGUAACGAUAAAGGGGGUGAAAAACCUCCUCGCCGGAAGACCAAGGGUUCCUGUCCAACGUUAAUCGGGGCAGGGUAAGUCGACCCCUAAGGCGAGGCCGAAAGGCGUAGUCGAUGGGAAACGGGUUAAUAUUCCCGUACUUCUUACAAUUGCGAUGGGGGGACGGAGAAGGCUAGGUGGGCCUGGCGACGGUUGUCCAGGUUCAAGUGCGUAGGCUUAAGAGUUAGGUAAAUCCGGCUCUUUUUAAGGCUGAGACACGACGUCGAGCCACUACGGUGGUGAAGUCAUUGAUGCCAUGCUUCCAGGAAAAGCCUCUAAGCUUCAGAUUGUAAGGAAUCGUACCCCAAACCGACACAGGUGGUCGGGUAGAGAAUACCAAGGCGCUUGAGAGAACUCGGGUGAAGGAACUAGGCAAAAUGGUACCGUAACUUCGGGAGAAGGUACGCUCUUGAUGGUGAAGUCCCUCGCGGAUGGAGCUGACGAGAGUCGCAGAUACCAGGUGGCUGCAACUGUUUAUUAAAAACACAGCACUGUGCAAAAUCGUAAGAUGACGUAUACGGUGUGACGCCUGCCCGGUGCCGGAAGGUUAAUUGAUGGGGUUAGACUUCGGUCGAAGCUCUUGAUCGAAGCCCCGGUAAACGGCGGCCGUAACUAUAACGGUCCUAAGGUAGCGAAAUUCCUUGUCGGGUAAGUUCCGACCUGCACGAAUGGCGUAAUGAUGGCCACGCUGUCUCCACCCGAGACUCAGUGAAAUUGAAAUCGCUGUGAAGAUGCAGUGUACCCGCGGCUAGACGGAAAGACCCCGUGAACCUUUACUACAGCUUGGCACUGAACAUUGACCCUACAUGUGUAGGAUAGGUGGGAGGCUUUGAAGCACGUACGCCAGUAUGUGUGGAGCCGUCCUUGAAAUACCACCCUUGUAGUGUUGAUGUUCUAACGUCGACCCCUUAUCGGGGUUGCGGACAGUGCCUGGUGGGUAGUUUGACUGGGGCGGUCUCCUCCCAAAGAGUAACGGAGGAGCACGAAGGUGGGCUAAUCACGGUUGGACAUCGUGAGGUUAGUGCAAUGGCAUAAGCCCGCUUGACUGCGAGAAUGACAAUUCGAGCAGGUGCGAAAGCAGGUCAUAGUGAUCCGGUGGUUCUGAAUGGAAGGGCCAUCGCUCAACGGAUAAAAGGUACUCCGGGGAUAACAGGCUGAUACCGCCCAAGAGUUCAUAUCGACGGCGGUGUUUGGCACCUCGAUGUCGGCUCAUCACAUCCUGGGGCUGAAGUCGGUCCCAAGGGUAUGGCUGUUCGCCAUUUAAAGUGGUACGCGAGCUGGGUUUAGAACGUCGUGAGACAGUUCGGUCCCUAUCUGCCGUGGGCGUUGGAAGAUUGAAGGGGGCUGCUCCUAGUACGAGAGGACCGGAGUGGACGAACCUCUGGUGUUCGGGUUGUGUCGCCAGACGCAUUGCCCGGUAGCUAAGUUCGGAAUCGAUAACCGCUGAAAGCAUCUAAGCGGGAAGCGAGCCCUGAGAUGAGUCUUCCCUGAUACUUUAAGUAUCCUAAAGGGUUGUCGGAGACUACGACGUUGAUAGGUCAGGUGUGUAAGUGCUGUGAGGCAUUGAGCUAACUGAUACUAAUUGCCCGUGAGGCUUAACCAU